RNAcentral lists this ribosomal RNA (959 nucleotides) under Cloacotaenia megalops. RNAcentral's name for it is "large subunit ribosomal RNA". The stretch from base 643 to 917 matches the Rfam family "Archaeal large subunit ribosomal RNA", at positions 2151 to 2715 of the family's 2987-position model. The record is from RNAcentral. Lineage: Eukaryota; Metazoa; Platyhelminthes; Cestoda; Cyclophyllidea; Hymenolepididae.
UUAUUAUUGUUUUAUUAAACAUUUUUAUGAAGUUUUAGGUUUAAUUGCCUUUUGCAUCAUGCUUAAUGGAUUUAUUAAUAUAUUAUUAUAAACCGAAAAAUUCAGAUCUUUUAUAAAGUUGCUUUGAGCAAAUUUACGUUAAGUUAAUUUUUAAAAUUUUAUAUUAGUAGUGAUAAGUUAGUCGUUGGAUUUUAUAUCUGUUUUACUGAUUUUUUUUAUUAUUAGACGUUAAGCUAAGAGGUUUAAUGUAUUUUUACACAUUUUAUAAUAUUUAAUUAUAAAUGAGUUAGAGUUACUCUAUUAUCAUAAGUUUUUUAAAAAUUUAUAUAAUUAUAUUAAUGUUUAGUCUAUAGUCAGUAAAUUUAAUUGUUAGAUUUUAUUAUCAUUAAAUAAGUAAUAUAAAUAUGAAUAUUAUUUCUCAAGUUUUGCCCGUCUGUUUAUUAAAAACAUUUCCAAAUUGAAACUUAUUUGGUAGAACCUGCUCUAUGCUAGUUGUAAAUGGCCGCAGUAACUUGACUGUGCGAAGGUAGCAUAAUUAAUUGCCUUAUAAUUGAAGGCUUGUUUGAAUGGUUUGACGAGGUAACAAUAAAUAUUAUUUAUUUAUUUGAAAUUGAUUUUGAGGGCACAGAAUCCUCAGUUAUUAAUUAGACGGAAAGACCCCAGGAUCUUUUAUUUUUGUUUGGGGCAAAUGUUAAUGUUUUAUCAAUAUUUGGACCCUCAUAGUUUAUUGAGUAAGUUACCCUGGGGAUAACAGUGUAAUAAUUAAUGAGAGAUCUUAUCGAAUUAAUUGUUUGCUACCUCGAUGUUGACUUAGGUUUUAUAUAGGCGCAAUUGUUUAUAUUAAUGGUCUGUUCGACCUUUGAAACCUCCAUGAGUUGAGUUAAGACCGGCGUGAGCCAGGUCGGUUCUUAUCUAUUGUAGAGGUUUAUUAGUACGAAAGGACCAUAAACUUUUUUAUU